Molecule: ribosomal RNA, 1661 nt
Filed under: Tolypocladium sp. ZLY-2010
Lineage: Eukaryota; Fungi; Ascomycota; Sordariomycetes; Hypocreales; Ophiocordycipitaceae
Description: eukaryotic LSU rRNA
Rfam family: Eukaryotic large subunit ribosomal RNA (bases 259-1661)
Source: RNAcentral
GAAGAAUGGUGAUUGCAGAUUCAGUGAAUCAUCGAAUCUUUGAACGCACAUUGCGCCCGCCAGUAUUCUGGCGGGCAUGCCUGUCCGAGCGUCAUUUCAACCCUCAAGCCCCUCAAGGCUUGGUGUUGGGGACCGGCCUCACCGCCGCCCCCGAAAUGCAGUGGCGACCUCGCCGCAGCCUCCCCUGCGUAGUAGCACAACCUCGCACCGGAGCGCGGAGACGGUCACGCCGUAAAACGCCCAACUUUUUUUUAGAGUUGACCUCGGAUCAGGUAGGAAUACCCGCUGAACUUAAGCAUAUCAAUAAGCGGAGGAAAAGAAACCAACAGGGAUUGCCCCAGUAACGGCGAGUGAAGCGGCAACAGCUCAAAUUUGAAAUCUGGCCCCUAGGGCCCGAGUUGUAAUUUGCAGAGGAUGCUUUUGGCGCGGUGCCUUCCGAGUUCCCUGGAACGGGACGCCAUAGAGGGUGAGAGCCCCGUCUGGUCGGACACCAAGCCAGUGUAAAGCUCCUUCGACGAGUCGAGUAGUUUGGGAAUGCUGCUCUAAAUGGGAGGUAUAUGUCUUCUAAAGCUAAAUACCGGCCAGAGACCGAUAGCGCACAAGUAGAGUGAUCGAAAGAUGAAAAGCACUUUGAAAAGAGGGUUAAAAAGUACGUGAAAUUGUUGAAAGGGAAGCGUUUAUGACCAGACUUGGGCCCGGUGAAUCAUCCAGCGUUCUCGCUGGUGCACUUUGCCGGGCUCAGGCCAGCAUCAGUUCGCCGUGGGGGAUAAAAGCUUCGGGAACGUGGCUCCCUCGGGAGUGUUAUAGCCCGUUGCAUAAUACCCUGUGGCGGACUGAGGUUCGCGCUCCGCAAGGAUGCUGGCGUAAUGGUCAUCAGCGACCCGUCUUGAAACACGGACCAAGGAGUCGUCUUCGUAUGCGAGUGUUCGGGUGUAAAACCCCUACGCGUAAUGAAAGUGAACGCAGGUGAGAGCUUCGGCGCAUCAUCGACCGAUCCUGAUGUUCUCGGAUGGAUUUGAGUAAGAGCAUACGGGGCCGGACCCGAAAGAAGGUGAACUAUGCCUGUGUAGGGUGAAGCCAGAGGAAACUCUGGUGGAGGCUCGCAGCGGUUCUGACGUGCAAAUCGAUCGUCAAACAUGGGCAUGGGGGCGAAAGACUAAUCGAACCUUCUAGUAGCUGGUUUCCGCCGAAGUUUCCCUCAGGAUAGCAGUGUUGAACUCAGUUUUAUGAGGUAAAGCGAAUGAUUAGGGACCCGGGGGCGCUCUUUAGCCUUCAUCCAUUCUCAAACUUUAAAUAUGUAAGAAGCCCUUGUUGCUUAAUUGAACGUGGGCAUUCGAAUGUAUCAACACUAGUGGGCCAUUUUUGGUAAGCAGAACUGGCGAUGCGGGAUGAACCGAACGCGAGGUUAAGGUGCCAGAGUAGACGCUCAUCAGACACCACAAAAGGCGUUAGUACAUCUUGACAGCAGGACGGUGGCCAUGGAAGUCGGAAUCCGCUAAGGACUGUGUAACAACUCACCUGCCGAAUGUACUAGCCCUGAAAAUGGAUGGCGCUCAAGCGUCUCACCCAUACCUCGCCCUCAGGGUAGAAACGAAGCCCUGAGGAGUAGGCGGACGUGGAGGUCGUGACGAAGCCUAGGGCGUGAGCCCUGGUAGAAAUCU